This 1090-nucleotide long non-coding RNA is filed under the name Olea europaea (common olive). RNAcentral's name for it is "long non-coding RNA (OEUR_LNC013473)". The record is from RNAcentral. Lineage: Eukaryota; Viridiplantae; Streptophyta; Magnoliopsida; Lamiales; Oleaceae.
UCAAUUCUUGGGGUUCAAGAUCCAAAACCGGGUUAGUAUUGGCGUUCUUGGGUUUCGUAUCAAUUUCGUUGUGGGUUUCGUAGUUUCCAUUCCUACGGAGUUCGCAUCAAAUAAUGCUCAAAAUCAUAAUCCAUUUUUGAUUUACUCAUCAUAUUGCAGUUCUCGAAGAUCAAUUGUUUUCCUUCUACACCAUGAUUUCUUGAGAUCCUGUGAAGCUUAUUUCAUUCACACAAUAAUAUAUGCCCGAAAUCCCUAUAAAUCCCAACUUUAAGCGAUUCAUGUCAUAAUACACACCUAGAAUCACAACUUAAGAGGGAUUUCACUGUCUCAAUAUCUAGCGAAUGGAAACCUUCAAAUUCACUUCAUCGAGGCACCCGAAAAGUACCAGCAUUUUAGCAAUGCAGAUUCUUCGCUAGAGAUUUUGCACCCAAAGAAUGACAAGGCUCCAAAAAUAGCAUAUCAGGGUCCCACACUCCCCAUCUAAUUGCCAAGAGGCAAUUGGUUAAAUCCCGUAAAGGGGCCGAACCAACGUAGGAUACCGAGCCCAUGUAACUGACUCAACCCAUUUGCAAAGGACCAAACCCCCGUCAUGGGAGAGGCUUUAGAAGGGACUCGACAGGAGAUGUUUCACACAAUUCUUUGUAUUGGUUGAUGUGAUAACUCCCUGUUGCCGCCAUCCUAUCUAGCCAAUUAGGUCCAGUCUAAGCCCUAUGCCAGGUAUUAUGGACAAUAAAAUGGUACUAGCAUUUAAUGCUCAUGAAUGAUUGACAUCUUCGACAAGAGGCCUUUGCCACACAGAUGAGGUCACGUACACUUUCAUCCUAUUAUUAGUGAUCAUCCAAUCUUAUUAUAGAAACUUACACAAUGUACCAUUCCAAAAGUUAAACUAUCCAACUAUAACUUCGUCAUAUCAUUGUUUUAUAUAUCACUCCCCAAAGUUGACCCCUUUCUACAUUGGAGCCUCUCGUCUAAGGUCCUCCACACUCAUAGACUUAUUUCUCCAAAUGGCUUGACUAUAUGAGUACGCCUACCAACUGUACUCCAUCUGAGGAAGUCACGUGUGGCUAACGGCUUGUAAUAAUGUGCAAAA